Molecule: ribosomal RNA, 447 nt
Filed under: uncultured bacterium
Lineage: Bacteria
Description: bacterial SSU rRNA
Rfam family: Bacterial small subunit ribosomal RNA
Source: RNAcentral
GUCGAGAAUCUUCCGCAAUGGGCGCAAGCCUGACGGAGCGACACCGCGUGCAGGAUGAAGGCCUUCGGGUUGUAAACUGCUGUCACGUUUUAGGAACGAACGGGCGUUAAUAGCGCUCGGACUGACCAAGGCGAGAGGAAGCACCGGCUAACUCUGUGCCAGCAGCCGCGGUAAGACAGAGGGUGCAAACGUUGUUCGGAAUUACUGGGCAUAAAGAGCACGUAGGUGGUGCGCUAAGUCACGUGUGAAAUCCCCCGGCUCAACCGGGGAAUGGCGCGUGAUACUGGCGGACUUGAGGCAGGUAGGGGUGAGCGGAACUCCAGGUGGAGCGGUGAAAUGCGUAGAUAUCUGGAGGAACACCGGUGGCGAAAGCGGCUCACUGGACCUGAUCUGACACUGAGGUGCGAAAGCUAGGGUAGCAAACGGGAUUAGAAACCCUAGUAGUCC